Mandrillus leucophaeus (drill) is the source of this 1090-nucleotide long non-coding RNA. RefSeq lists it as uncharacterized. The transcript is spliced from 2 exons. NCBI's taxonomy places the organism in Eukaryota, Metazoa, Chordata, Mammalia, Primates, Cercopithecidae. The record is from RefSeq and is a predicted model, not a curated record.
CCGCAGGAUGACUCAGGGCAGCCCUGGCCACAGUUCCGCCGCCACCGGCCCUAGCCUGCGGAGUUGGGCCCGUCCCGGGACGAUAACGGAGCUCUGCCGGGGGACUGGAGGCACUGACCGGGUGACCAGAGACCCAGAGACCAGAGCCCCUCCACGGCGCCCGGGACUUCAGGGACGGCUCCUCCCAUCGCAACUAAGGCUUGGACGGGAGGCGACAAAAGAGAACUUGGUCCGCACACAGCCACCGGAAUUGGAAUAAGGAGCUGUAGGGAGGCCCCGUAGCUAGCAGAAAAGCAUUGGAGUCCCUGGCUGGGUUAGCCCAGGUUUCUAGGAGUGUGGUAAGCAUCGAAUGACCUUUGUCCUUUUAAGGCACAUUAUGUUAGUUUUCCCCAAGGUUUCAACAGAAAAUGAGAAAUAUCCCCUGACGAUUGACUGAAAACAUGCAGCAACCACUAUUUUCCUGCUCCUCGUUGAUAAGAGCAUUGGAAGUGACCUCAGCGGGGGAUCCAGGUCAGUUUCUGGAAGACUUGUGCGUGUAGUGAAUGAAUAUCUGGUUUUGUCUCUGCUGGGCCUGUGUGCCUGGAAAGGAAUCAUUUUGGCCUAGGAUCAUCCAGGUUUGUUUGGUUUAGUUCUUGACCACAUAUUUUUUGAAUGGUGACUGCUUAAGAACCUAUUGUGUAUGGCUAUAAAUAGACUCAGACGCCAAGGUGAGUUUUCACAUGCUCCGCGCUUCCCAUGCCCACCGGCCACGUGUCUGAGUGUGUAGCCUCUAAUCAUCUAAGGGAACUUUGGCUGCAGAGGGGAGGCCUGGUCCCAUGGGAAGUUUUGGGAGCACAGCAGCAGGUGGGUUCAAACAACCCAGCAGGUGCCUCCUCAGCACUUAGAAGCGGAGGCCACCACGUUGUUGACAUGUUCAGCUCCCAGCUCCCCGCCAGCCUGCCCGACCUGGGACAGGUCCCUCCCUGUGUCUUCCUCCAUUACUUCUUCAGUAAGAUGGGACAGUGAAGAUGGCCAUGCCUCCCACCAGAUUGGUGCUUUUUUUUCUUUUUUUUUCUUUUUUUAAUAAGGGACAGAGUCUCACUAUGUUGCC